Molecule: ribosomal RNA, 1256 nt
Filed under: uncultured fungus
Lineage: Eukaryota; Fungi
Description: eukaryotic LSU rRNA
Rfam family: Eukaryotic large subunit ribosomal RNA (bases 580-1256)
Source: RNAcentral
AAGUCGUAACAAGGUUUCCGUAGGUGAACCUGCGGAAGGAUCAUUAUUGAAUACGAUUGGUACUGAUGCUGGCUCUUAACUGAGCAUGUGCUCGUCCAUCUAUUUAUCUUCUCUUGUGCACAUUUUGUAGUCUUGAACGUACCUCUCGCAGUCAAAUGCGGUUUGGGAGCUUGGGCGCAAGCCCUUCUCCUGCUUCUUCAAGGCUAUGUUUUCAUAUACACUAUAAAGUUACAGAAUGUCUUUUAACGAUUGCGCUUGUCGUAGUCAUUAAACCUAUACAACUUUCAGCAACGGAUCUCUUGGCUCUCCUAUCGAUGAAGAACGCAGCGAAAUGCGAUAAGUAAUGUGAAUUGCAGAAUUCAGUGAAUCAUCGAAUCUUUGAACGCACCUUGCGCCCUUUGGUAUUCCGAAGGGCAUGCCUGUUUGAGUGUCAUUGAAUUAUCAACCUUGCUCGCUUUUACCGGCUUGAGUUAGGCUUGGACUUGAGGGCUUGCUGGCUUCCUUCAGUGGAUGGUCUGCUCCCUUUAAAUGCAUUAGUGGGAUCUCUUGUGGACCGUCACUUNGNGUGAUAAUUAUCUAUGCCACUUGACCUUGAAGNAANACNNUGGGAACCCGCUCAUAACCGUCUUCGGACAACUUUUGACAUNNNNNCCUAGUACUGCGAGUGAGCGGGAAAAGCUCAAAUUUAAAAUCUGGCGGUUCUUGUAGNCGUCCGAGUUGUAAUUUAGAGAAGUGUUAUCCGCGCUGGNCCGUGUACAAGUCUCCUGGAAUGGAGCGUCAUAGAGGGUGAGAAUCCCGUCUUUGACACGGACUGCCAGGGCAUUGUGAUGCGCUCUCAAAGAGUCGAGUUGUUUGGGAAUGCAGCUCAAAAUGGGUGGUAAAUUCCAUCUAAAGCUAAAUAUUGAGGAGAGACCGAUAGCGAACAAGUACCGUGAGGGAAAGAUGAAAAGAACUUUGGAAAGAGAGUUAAACAGUACGUGAAAUUGCUGAAAGGGAAACGCUUGAAGUCAGUCGCGUCGUUCAGGACUCAGCCUUGCUUUGCUUGGUGUACUUCCUGUUCGACGGGUCAGCAUCAAUCUUGGUCGGUGGAUAAAGGCUUAGAGAAUGUGGCAUCUUCGGGUGUGUUAUAGCUCUGGGUCGCAUACAUCGGCUGGGAUUGAGGAACUCAGCACGCCGCAAGGCCGGGGACUUGUCCCACGUACGUGCUUAGGAUGCUGGCAUAAUGGCUUUAAUCGACCCGUCUUGAAACACGGACC